CCUACGGGAGGCAGCAGUGGGGAAUAUUGGGCAAUGGGCGAAAGCCUGACCCAGCGACGCCGCGUGAAGGAAGAAGGCUUUCGGGUUGUAAACUUCUUUUGACAGGGAAGAGAAGAAGACGGUACCUGUCGAAUAAGCCACGGCUAACUACGUGCCAGCAGCCGCGGUAAUACGUAGGUGGCAAGCGUUGUCCGGAUUUACUGGGUGUAAAGGGCGUGUAGCCGGGCUGACAAGUCAGAUGUGAAAGCCGGGGGCUCAACCCCCGAACUGCAUUUGAAACUGUUGGUCUUGAGUACAGGAGAGGCAGGCGGAAUUCCUAGUGUAGCGGUGAAAUGCGUAGAUAUUAGGAGGAACACCAGUGGCGAAGGCGGCUUGCUGGACGACAACUGACGGUGAGGCGCGAAAGCGUGGGGAGCAAACAGGAUUAGAUACCCUUGUAGUC
This 442-nucleotide ribosomal RNA is filed under the name uncultured bacterium. RNAcentral describes it as "partial 16S ribosomal RNA". It matches the Rfam family "Bacterial small subunit ribosomal RNA", at positions 338 to 795 of the family's 1533-position model. The record is from RNAcentral.